GUAGAAUGGAUUUUACUUUUCAAAGUAAUCUUUACUAUCUUUUACAAUGAACUCAUGCUAUUUUCUGUUUAUGUGUCAAUAAUGAAUACAGAAUGGUUCCAGUAAGUUCCAGAUAUGAGGGAAAAACAUGAGUAACACAAGAAGAAUCUUAUUGCAACAAAGAGGGUAAACACUCUCCUUACUUCUGCUUAUUUUGUUUUUAUUUUCUGAUUUUUCCAUUUUGGGUGUAAACUUAAGAUUGUUUGACACCUGUUAUCUUUUCUAAUGUAAGCAUUCAAUGCUAUAAAUUUUUCUCAAAGCACUGUUUCAGCUAUAUUCCACAAAUUUUGAUAUAUUUUGUUUUCAUUUUAGUUCACUUAAAAAUAUUUUCUAACUCUUUUGAGACUUCUGCUUUUAUCCAUGGAUCAUUCAG
RNAcentral lists this long non-coding RNA (412 nucleotides) under Homo sapiens (human). Its description in RNAcentral is "HSALNT0078650". The record is from RNAcentral. Lineage: Eukaryota; Metazoa; Chordata; Mammalia; Primates; Hominidae.